Molecule: ribosomal RNA, 178 nt
Filed under: uncultured bacterium
Lineage: Bacteria
Description: partial 16S ribosomal RNA
Rfam family: Bacterial small subunit ribosomal RNA
Source: RNAcentral
UACUCCUACGGGAGGCAGCAGUGGGGAAUAUUGCACAAUGGGCGAAAGCCUGAUGCAGCGACGCCGCGUGAGGGAUGAAGGCCUUCGGGUUGUAAACCUCUUUCAGCAGGGAAGAAGCGAAAGUGACGGUACCUGCAGAAGAAGCACCGGCUAACUACGUGCCAGCAGCCGCGGUAAU